This 391-nucleotide long non-coding RNA is filed under the name Pan troglodytes (chimpanzee). RNAcentral's name for it is "long non-coding RNA NONPTRT004173". Lineage: Eukaryota; Metazoa; Chordata; Mammalia; Primates; Hominidae. The record is from RNAcentral.
ACAUCCAUGAAUACAUGUACAUACAUGUCUACGUCUGUAUCCAUGCCUACAUCCACAUCUGUGCCUACGUCCACAUCCAUAUCUACACCCUCAUCCAUAUCUACACCCACAUCCAUAUCUACACCCACGUCCAUGACUACACCCACAUCCAUACCUACACCCACAUCCAUAUCUAUACUCACGUCCAUGACUACACCCCCAUCCAUAUCUACACCCACAUCCAUAUCUACACCCACGUCCAUGACUACACCCACAUCCAUAUCUACACCCACAUCCAUAUCUAUACUCACGUCCAUGACUACACCCCCAUCCAUAUCUACACCCACAUCCAUAUCUACACCCACAUCCAUAUCUACACCCACAUCCAUAUCUACACCCACAUCCAUAUCUA